Non-coding RNA from Xenopus tropicalis (tropical clawed frog), 46 nucleotides. The record is from Rfam. NCBI's taxonomy places the organism in Eukaryota, Metazoa, Chordata, Amphibia, Anura, Pipidae.
AAAACGGCCCUUUUAAGGGCCCCCACUAAUUCACUAAAAGGCUGUG